GGCACGGUCUAUUCUAAGCGCUCAUUAAUAGCUGGUCUCUGAGGGCCCUGGCAGCAGCCAGAGGAUUUUACUCAUUAAAAAGGUGGCGAGGUAGAGUUUUGUGCCUUCCCGGCUUGUCGCUGUGUGAUCUUGGUGCUCAGACGUCGCCAGCAGGCCUCAAAUGAACGCCCCGAGAUUGCUGGCGCGGGAAACCUUUUUUGCCGGGUUUGAAAGCGCCACCCACCCAUGGAUGGGGCGAGAAGCCCUUGCUGUUUGUCAGAGACGCCUGGCUUGUCCCUGAUAGGAGUUGAGUUGGCCUGUAGAAAUGCAUCCUGUACAACCGCAAAUACAAGGGAAAUAAGGCAGAAAAUAAGUUCAAGUGAGGAAUCAUUGCUCAACAGGGAUCGGGCUUCUCCAGCCCCCAAGCACACCACGCUGUAAUCCUUCAUCAUCUUAUAAGGCGACAGUCCACAACUGCUUGGGGACCACAGAGCUUGUGUUUUCAUUCCCUUUGUUUCAGGAUGGUUUGUGACUUCUCAGGUGGAACUGCUGGUGAUAAAACUAACAUUUCACAAUUUUGCAACUGUGAAUUUAAUUUCUUUUGAACAUUAGGGGAUGUUUAAAAAGUAGCGUGAGUAUUAAAUUUGUACUUUAUGGGAGUUGGGAGGAGGAACAGGGAAAGUAGGAGCGGAGAAUUUCCUAAAACCAUAUGAAAGAAGGAUGGAAAACACUGUUGAGUUUUUGCUAGGAAAACUACUUUUUUCCCCCAGAUUGAAAUAUUGCUUUAAAGCAUUGGCAGACUUACAGAAAUGAAAUGAAAAACAAAUCCCACAAAAAUC
This 818-nucleotide long non-coding RNA is filed under the name Macaca mulatta (Rhesus monkey). RNAcentral's name for it is "lncRNA (ENSMMUG00000053413.1)". Lineage: Eukaryota; Metazoa; Chordata; Mammalia; Primates; Cercopithecidae. The record is from RNAcentral.